Engraulis encrasicolus (European anchovy) is the source of this 611-nucleotide long non-coding RNA. RefSeq lists it as uncharacterized. Lineage: Eukaryota; Metazoa; Chordata; Actinopteri; Clupeiformes; Engraulidae. The transcript is spliced from 3 exons. The record is from RefSeq and is a predicted model, not a curated record.
UUUUCUUUUGAAAGUCGCUUUGGUUAGCGUCUGCCAAAUGCAAUGUAAUGUAAUGUAAUGCAAACUUAAGUUGUUCAAAGUUUUGUAGGCACCACGUCACACUAGAAAGUAAACAUACAGGCAUACAAAUAAUGAAUAAAAUGAUCUCAACACGUUAUGGUACUAAGGCAGGAAGUCAUCAGGUUUAUAACAUUCAACACAAACUGGUGAGCACAGAUUUACUGUUGUUUUUUGUUUAUUUCCUAGAUAUUCUAACUGCUGCUUGACAGGAGGAUGAGGUAGCUGCAAGAUCUACUGAACAUGAACGAUGAAGAGCCUACUGACAGCUGUUGGCUGUUCGCCUAAUGCACAAUGUUGACCUGGGUGUUCCCUAUUCAGAUGCUGCUGCCGUCAGUCCACGGAUGUACACAAACGGGUCACCUGAAGGAAGAGGGGGGUCAACGAAACCAAACAAGUUUUGAAAGCAGAGGUGACAUUGCCAGUGUGUCCAACUCUUCAGAGGAGAGCCAGUGGAGGUGGUACGCACAUCAUCCAGGACCAGUUAUGGACCACCAACACCUCUGCCAAGUCUAUCUACACUUCUUGUGAACCAUGUUAAAAACUACCACAAA